RNAcentral lists this ribosomal RNA (433 nucleotides) under uncultured bacterium. RNAcentral's name for it is "partial 16S ribosomal RNA". It matches the Rfam family "Bacterial small subunit ribosomal RNA", at positions 29 to 507 of the family's 1533-position model. The record is from RNAcentral.
AACGAACGCUGGCGGCAUGCCUAACACAUGCAAGUCGAACGAGACCUUCGGGUCUAGUGGCGCAAGGGUGCGUAACGCGUGGGAACCUGCACUUAGGUUCGGCAUAACUCCCCGAAAGGGGUGCUAAUACCGGAUAAUGUCUUCGGACCAAAGAUUUAUUGCCUUUGGAUGGGCCCGCGUUGGAUUAGCUAGUUGGUAGGGUAAAAGCCUACCAAGGCGACGAUCCAUAGCUGGUCGGAGAGGAUGAUCAGCCACACUGGGACUGAGACACGGCCCAGACUCCUACGGGAGGCAGCAGUGGGGAAUAUUGGACAAUGGGCGAAAGCCUGAUCCAGCAAUGCCGCGUGAGUGAUGAAGGCCUUAGAGUUGUAAAGCUCUUUUAACCGGGAUGAUAAUGACAGUACCGGGAGAAUAAGCUCCGGCUAACUCCGUG